UGAAUCUUGAUGAUGCAU
Molecule: non-coding RNA, 18 nt
Filed under: Arabidopsis thaliana (thale cress)
Lineage: Eukaryota; Viridiplantae; Streptophyta; Magnoliopsida; Brassicales; Brassicaceae
Source: RNAcentral